RNAcentral lists this long non-coding RNA (1022 nucleotides) under Equus caballus (horse). RNAcentral's name for it is "lncRNA (ENSECAG00000052653.1)". Lineage: Eukaryota; Metazoa; Chordata; Mammalia; Perissodactyla; Equidae. The record is from RNAcentral.
GUUUGUAAGAAGGCUGCUAUUAAGCAUCCAUUAGCAAUAGGAGUUCCUGCAGAAGUUACGAAAUCCAGGGUAUUUCCAAAUUUUGCCAACAGCAUGGCAGACUCCAAAAGCAUAUCUAGAGUCUGUGUAAACAGUGGCAGUUUUCCCUUUUGCUAAUGUGCAAGCUCUAGUAAGAGCUACGAGUUUAACAGCUUGGGCUGAUUUUACAGUGGGUAAAGAAUAAGCUUCAAGCGUUUCAUGCGGGGAAACUAUGGCAUAACCAGUUAUUAUGUUUCCCCAGAAAUUUCACUUACAGGAGCCAUCGGAAAACAGAAUAAUGGGCACAGGUUCUGCACUAAGCAACAAUCCACCUCAUUUGCAUGUGUAGCCCAGAGACUAAUUGGGACAUCUUAUAAAGACUCAUCUUCUUCAGAAGAACGUAAAUCAGGAUGCGUUUCUAGCAAGGAAAGUAGGAGACUUGGGGUUUGGUCAGAGGGCAAGGAGAUAAAAACAGCUUUUUCAUUACAAUUUAUAGUGGCAUUAAAUUUAGAUAAAUUUCUGCCAAAGAGGUUUGCUGGUGAACAUUCAUAGACCAGAAAGGCACGAUGAGUGUUAAGGGGGCCUAAAGAUCCUGGAGUGGGCUGAGAUACAGGCAGUGAAAUAGGCUGCCCAGAGACUCCCACAGCUUCAAUAGAUUCAGAGGUGACAGGUAGACAUAAAUCCUCCAAACGGAUAGUAGAGAAAGUCGCAUCAGUGUCAACUAAAGCAUCCAGUUCGUAAUCCUCUAAUUAAGGUUCAUGGUAGUCUCAGGGGUGCAACUGAGGACCGGCUGACCCCAUCAAUUUAGGGAGACAUGCCCCUCAAGAGGAGAAAAACGAGACGUCUGGGGGUUCUGGGGCCGAGUGGGGUAUUUUUCAAACUUUCCCUUCUCUUAAGAGCAGGACAUUCUCUUUCCCAAUGCCCUGAUUUCUUGCAAUACUUGCAAGUGUCUGGGGGCCAACAGGGAGGCCUCUGAGCGGGCUUUAGUUUACUCUCAGGGUUGC